RNAcentral lists this transfer RNA (72 nucleotides) under Camelus bactrianus (Bactrian camel). It matches the Rfam family "tRNA". From Rfam's summary of the family: Transfer RNA (tRNA) molecules are approximately 80 nucleotides in length. Their secondary structure includes four short double-helical elements and three loops (D, anti-codon, and T loops). The record is from Rfam by way of RNAcentral. RNAcentral also lists the same sequence under 2 other names. Lineage: Eukaryota; Metazoa; Chordata; Mammalia; Artiodactyla; Camelidae.
GAGGGUACAGCUCAGUGGUAGAGCGUGUGCUUAGCAUGCACGAGGUCCUGGGUUCAAUCCCCAGUACUUCCA